RNAcentral lists this ribosomal RNA (255 nucleotides) under uncultured bacterium. Its description in RNAcentral is "partial 16S ribosomal RNA". It matches the Rfam family "Bacterial small subunit ribosomal RNA", at positions 524 to 776 of the family's 1533-position model. The record is from RNAcentral.
CACGUAGGGGGCGAGCGUUGUCCGGAUUUAUUGGGCGUAAAGAGCUCGUAGGCGGUUUCGUUAGUCGGGUGUGAAAACCCCAGGCUCAACCUGGGGACGCCACCCGAUACUGCGAUGACUAGAGUCCGGUAGGGGAGUGUGGAAUUCCUGGUGUAGCGGUGAAAUGCGCAGAUAUCAGGAGGAACACCAACGGCGAAGGCAGCACUCUGGGCCGGAACUGACGCUGAGGAGCGAAAAGCGUGGGUAGCGAACAGG